CCUCUGUGCACGCGCUUUAACGUGCGCGAUGGGUAAGGGGGGGGUGAUAAAGGCUGCACGCACGAAAUUCCUCCAAGGAAACUCUGCGAGCUUUUUUUUUUUUUUCCUUUUCUUUUUUUCAUCACGCGCGUGCUAAAAAUAGAAACAGGGUUGGAUCGUGAUCCAGAAAUAGAUAGGGGGCAUCACUCCUAUAAAAGGCACACCAUUCAAGAGUACAGUGUGUGCACAGUAGGAAGAACCGAAAAGCAAGAGAGCGCAUUUUAAAGCAGAGAGCAGUUUUAUUUGCUCUUUUAUUUUGUGGUGACACUCCUCCUGCUUGCACGGUUAUCACACACACCUUCAGAGAUGACGGCACUGAAUGAGCUCAGAAUGAAAUAGGGAUGCUACAAAAACAAAUGUGAGGAAAACCUACCAGUGUGUCUCAAGCAGAUUCUGUAUUUUGUUUUUUCAGACUUUGAUUGUUAAAAUGAAUUCACACAUUUCAAUAUGAAAUAAAGCAGUACGGCUGUUUUACUGCACACAGUCAGAAGAUAUGGAAGGUCUUGGUGCUCGUUUGUCUAUAUGUGUACUACAAUUGGCUGGCAACCAGUCCACGGUGUCCCUCCCAAAGUCAUCUGGGAUAGGCUCCAACAUGAUCCCUAAUGAUGUUAAAGUGUCAUGUUUAAUCUGACAAAGAUGUAUACAUUUAAAAAUCCCCAUGAGUGACCAUAGCAUGUCAUUUCUCCUGCCUUUUUUUUUGCAGUCGUGUAAAGCUGAGUUGUACUUUUGAGUAUGUUUAGUGCCAAAAUCUUUUAAGAAUGUAAAUGUGGAAUAUUCUAUUCUAAAUAUUCAGUCAAACAUUUCAAAUAAAGCAACAUGGCCAUGAAUCAAAAAGAAAUAAAAACAGCACCUGACCUUUGAGCUCUUUUAUGAGCAGCAUGCACGUGAAAUAUGCUUUGACGCACAAACAUGUACUAGGUUCCAGCAGUAUUCCACAAAUAUCCCAAAGUAGUAGCAUCAGAAAAAAUGUUAUAUAUAUGUUUUUAUAUUUUUAGGCAUAAUCAUUUCUACAUUUUACUUUUGAAUGUAUUUUGUUUGGAUUUUGCAAGUAAAUGUGCGUUUGAUGGCUAAUGAAGUAAGCCUUGUACAUGUGUGUAUUAGUUGUGUAGCACACUUGCCUUUAUCUAGUUUGUCAUACAUAUGCUGACAUUUUAACAUAUGAAUUAUCUCAUCAUUGUGCAUAUAAUUGCCUUAUUGACAACAAUGUGUGGAUUUAAACCGUAAUGAAUGUAUUUCUUGGGAAUGUACCCUCAAUUACUGUUGUCACUUUGUUCAAAAGAUAUGAUGGCGCUUGCACGAUGCUCAAAUCAACAUGUCCAAAAAGGACGAGGAAGAAGCAGAGUGUAUUUAUAACUACCUCUUCAAAUACAGAAUGUAUAAAUAAAUAAUAUAUCGAUUAGAUGAUAAAAGAAUGAAGAGUGAAUAGUAAAAUGUGUUAUUUUUUUACAUUUCGAAAGUCAGCACAAGGCAUAAAGGAUUUGAAAUUGAUCUUUUUCUUAGAGGCUUCUCUGUUGUUUUUAUACACCAUUAGUUGGGAAAUAUUUCAAUGUGGAAAAUGUUUUUAUUUUGUUGGAUUUACAGGUAUAUGCUUCAUGUACUUAUUUCUAAAAAAACAAGUCACAUCUUGUCGUCUUUUUCUCUCAUCAUGUCUGCUGAUCUUUUUUGUAGCAAAACUAUCAUUCAUUAAAAAUCAUAAUGGAAAUAAAUGAUUUCAGAACCCCUUCA
Molecule: long non-coding RNA, 1764 nt
Organism: Doryrhamphus excisus (bluestripe pipefish)
Lineage: Eukaryota; Metazoa; Chordata; Actinopteri; Syngnathiformes; Syngnathidae
Source: RefSeq, a predicted model, not a curated record